CAGAAGAGUCAGCAGCAGCCUUAACUCCCCAUACUAGCGUAACUCCUCCUUGUUCCAGUGAAUAAGGGCAGCAGCAAGCUGGGAGGAGACAGAGAAGACUGCAUCAUCUGGAAGGCCUGCCACCAGUAACUAAUGCUUCAUCAUCUUCACUUGUGUCUUGAUCUUCCAGAAGCUCAUCAGUCUCUUCUGAGUCAGGCUGUGCCUUUUAAAGGUUUUUCAGUCUGACUUGGCAGAUUUGAUACUGGCGUAUUUUGCCGGUGGUGUGACGUUUGGGAUGUAGUCUCAGCCAGGCACCUUCAGGGUGUUAUUAAUGAUUCUAGCAUAUUUAAAAACACAAUGCCUUGCUGGUGACCCGAUCCUGGUCCCGGCUGUUAAAGUCUUCCAGUAGGUCGAGCGGGAAAUUAAUGGAAUCUGCUCUUGCUUCUGGAAGAAGAAAAUAUACAUAUCACCUUUGGAAAAAUUGCUUUCUAGUUUGAACCUGUUAUGAAAGGAGACAUACCAAAGGGAAGCAAUUAUGUUUCACAACAGUAGC
Long non-coding RNA from Poecilia latipinna (sailfin molly), 532 nucleotides. RefSeq lists it as uncharacterized. NCBI's taxonomy places the organism in Eukaryota, Metazoa, Chordata, Actinopteri, Cyprinodontiformes, Poeciliidae. The transcript has 3 exons. The record is from RefSeq and is a predicted model, not a curated record.